CUGGCGGCAUGCCUAACACAUGCAAGUCGAACGAGACCUUCGGGUCUAGUGGCGCACGGGUGCGUAACGCGUGGGAAUCUACCCUUGGGUUCGGAAUAACUCAGAGAAAUUUGAGCUAAUACCGGAUGAUGUCGAAAGACCAAAGAUUUAUCGCCCAAGGAUGAGCCCGCGUAGGAUUAGCUAGUUGGUGAGGUAAAGGCUCACCAAGGCGACGAUCCUUAGCUGGUCUGAGAGGAUGAUCAGCCACACUGGGACUGAGACACGGCCCAGACUCCUACGGGAGGCAGCAGUGGGGAAUAUUGGACAAUGGGCGAAAGCCUGAUCCAGCAAUGCCGCGUGAGUGAUGAAGGCCUUAGGGUUGUAAAGCUCUUUUACCCGGGAUGAUAAUGACAGUACCGGGAGAAUAAGCCCCGGCUAACUCCGUGCCAGCAGCCGCGGUAAUACGGAGGGGGCUAGCGUUGUUCGGAAUUACUGGGCGUAAAGCGCGCGUAGGCGGCUAUUCAAGUCAGAGGUGAAAGCCCGGAGCUCAACUCCGGAAUUGCCUUUGAAACUAGAUAGCUUGAAUCACGGAGAGGUCAGUGGAAUUCCGAGUGUAGAGGUGAAAUUCGUAGAUAUUCGGAAGAACACCAGUGGCGA
This 636-nucleotide ribosomal RNA is filed under the name uncultured bacterium. Its description in RNAcentral is "bacterial SSU rRNA". It matches the Rfam family "Bacterial small subunit ribosomal RNA", at positions 36 to 718 of the family's 1533-position model. The record is from RNAcentral.